RNAcentral lists this ribosomal RNA (390 nucleotides) under Bacillus cereus. RNAcentral's name for it is "bacterial SSU rRNA". It matches the Rfam family "Bacterial small subunit ribosomal RNA", at positions 553 to 941 of the family's 1533-position model. The record is from RNAcentral. Lineage: Bacteria; Bacillati; Bacillota; Bacilli; Caryophanales; Bacillaceae.
AUUGGGCGUAAAGCGCGCGCAGGUGGUUUCUUAAGUCUGAUGUGAAAGCCCACCGCUCAACCGUGGAGGGUCAUUGGAAACUGGGAGACUUGAGUCCAGAAGAGGAAAGUGGAAUUCCAUGUGUAGCGGUGAAAUGCGUAGAGAUAUGGAGGAACACCAGUGGCGAAGGCGCCUUUCUGGUCUGUAACUGACACUGAGGCGCGAAAGCGUGGGGAGCAAACAGGAUUAUAUACCCUGGUAGUCCACGCCGUAAACGAUGAGUGCUAAGUGUUAGAGGGUUUCCGCCCUUUAGUGCUGAAGUUAACGCAUUAAGCACUCCGCCUGGGGAGUACGGCCGCAAGGCUGAAACUCACAGGAAUUGACGGGGGCCCGCACAACCGGUGGAGCAUG